RNAcentral lists this transfer RNA (68 nucleotides) under Electrophorus voltai. RNAcentral describes it as "tRNA-His". It matches the Rfam family "tRNA". Rfam says of the family: Transfer RNA (tRNA) molecules are approximately 80 nucleotides in length. Their secondary structure includes four short double-helical elements and three loops (D, anti-codon, and T loops). Further hydrogen bonds mediate the characteristic L-shaped molecular structure. tRNAs have two regions of fundamental functional importance: the anti-codon, which is responsible for specific mRNA codon recognition, and the 3' end, to which the tRNAs corresponding amino acid is attached (by aminoacyl-tRNA synthetases). tRNAs cope with the degeneracy of the genetic code in two manners: having more than one tRNA (with a specific anti-codon) for a particular amino acid; and 'wobble' base-pairing, i.e. permitting non-standard base-pairing at the 3rd anti-codon position. Lineage: Eukaryota; Metazoa; Chordata; Actinopteri; Gymnotiformes; Gymnotidae. The record is from RNAcentral.
GUAGGUGUAGUUUAAAAAAACACCAGAUUGUGAUUCUGGAAAUAGAAGUUAAACUCUUCUUACCAACC